AUUGAACGCUGGCGGCAUGCCUUACACAUGCAAGUCGAACGGCAGCACGGGAGCAAUCCUGGUGGCGAGUGGCGAACGGGUGAGUAAUAUAUCGGAACGUGCCCAGUCGUGGGGGAUAACGUAGCGAAAGCUACGCUAAUACCGCAUACUAUCUAUGGAUGAAAGCGGGGGAUCGCAAGACCUCGCGCGAUUGGAGCGGCCGAUAUCAGAUUAGGUAGUUGGUGAGGUAAAGGCUCACCAAGCCGACGAUCUGUAGCUGGUCUGAGAGGACGACCAGCCACACUGGGACUGAGACACGGCCCAGGCUCCUACGGGAGGCAGCAGUGGGGAAUUUUGGACAAUGGGCGCAAGCCUGAUCCAGCAAUGCCGCGUGCAGGAUGAAGGCC
RNAcentral lists this ribosomal RNA (386 nucleotides) under uncultured bacterium. RNAcentral's name for it is "bacterial SSU rRNA". It matches the Rfam family "Bacterial small subunit ribosomal RNA", at positions 30 to 416 of the family's 1533-position model. The record is from RNAcentral.